RNAcentral lists this long non-coding RNA (1166 nucleotides) under Chinchilla lanigera (long-tailed chinchilla). Its description in RNAcentral is "lncRNA (ENSCLAG00000026172.1)". The record is from RNAcentral. Lineage: Eukaryota; Metazoa; Chordata; Mammalia; Rodentia; Chinchillidae.
GCCAGCCACAGAAUGAUAGAUAGCGUGGGAUUCCACUCACUGAGGUCUGAAAAAUAACUCAGAGAAGAAAGGAGGCGACAGGAACUUACCAAAAAUUGAAGGUUGGGGCUGGGAAGUUGCAUAUAUAGCUUCGAAAAAAAAAAAAUGCAGUCUUUUCAAAUAGCUCACUCUAAACAAAAGAAAACUGCCCCAUGUCAUGUUGUAAAUAGGUUUGCUACUGAUGCACGAUUAUGUGUGGAUAUGUUGAUGUUUACCAGUGUUCAUGGUUUGUCGCUUUUCACAAGAGCAAGAAUGAGAGCGGCAUUCAAUGACGCAUAGCAUUAUCUCGGCUAAGUGGCAUCGCAGAGCUGGGGCCCGGCGCACCUGCCUCAAGGUCGUCCCAGAGGCUGUAGGCAAAAGCCAGAGAAGGUCUGUACCUGCAAGAUCAAAAGGCAGUGAACUCAAAACUCUCCAGGCCCAAAACAUCCCUGUGGAUGAGUCCCGCCAGGUCGUCCUGCGUAGGAGGAAGUAAUCAAUUAUAUCACCUCAAGGAUGUUUGCUUCUGUCAAAACCACUCUGCAACUGAUCUUUAUCAGUGGGUUUCUAAAUCCAGCGACUUUGUUUACAUGUUUUAUUCCCUGACUUAGAAGAUUUUGCCAUAAUAGGAUAUAUCAUUAAGUAACGGUAUGAAAUGAAGUUCAACAGCUCUGAAAUAAAAUUUAAAACCUACUAGCGUGACAUCAAAAAGACAAGAAAUUAAUGAAACUCUAAUUUUCACUCCCAGCUUCUUUGAUUUCUUAAAAUGAAUGACUCUUGAUUUUGGACACAGUGGACCACCUGGGAGAGAUUGUACUAAAAGAAAACAACAACACAGGAAAAAACAAAAAAAACUCAGGAAAUCUACGGGGUUAUUUUCAGCACAGAAGGUAAAAAAACCUUCACACCUUUAAAAUUCUACACAAGCCUUUGAUUGAUGUACUUUCUAAGUGGCUAAAUACUGGGACCUUGGAGGUAUUUAUUAAGAUGUCUAAUUUUAUAUAAAUAGCUUUUCUAAUAGAUGAAAAGAUUUUUAAUAGAAGAACAUAUCUUUUUAUAGAGGAAAGUUUGAUAAAUUUUCCAGUUAUGUAAAUUGAAAUUUAGUUCUUCAGGGAAAUGGUAUUUUCUUACCAGUACACUUUCAGCAGAAA